AACAAAAAGGAGUCGUCUUCUUUUCUGUUUAUUUCAUUCCGUGAAUUUUUACAAAGUUGUAAGCCGUAGCUCCUAGAGUUUUAUUGCUAGGAUAGCCUUUUUACUGAAAUUAUAUGUCCGAUCUCAGGAGACAUUUUAAAAUAGCUCACCAAAUGUAAAUAAAAUUCUGAACAGUUAAAUUCGUUGAAAAACACUGCGAGUAUUAAAACUGUACAACACAAUAUUAUUCAUUUAUUUUUGAAAACAAUGUGUCAAUCAUGUUCAAAUCAAAAUCGAAGUGCAGAAGGCUGUACCGCGUGCUACGCGUGUUUCUGUAUAGUAGUAGGGACUAUUUACUUGAUCCUUAGUAUAAUAGCUAUUAUUUUUUCUUCUGUAAGAAUUGCUGUUGUGGAGACCCAUCCUGUAUUUGCGGAAGACUAUAAUACCAAAAGCAAUUUAAUAUUGUAUUUGAUUAUUUACAUUAUCGAUGCUGUGGUGUGCAUGACGUAUCUUUUAGCUGGGAUACUUAUACAGAGGGGAUUGAAAAAUAAUAAUAUCGGAACGGUAAAGGUCGGAAAGUGUCUCAGCUAUGCUUUUCCAAUAGUAAACUUACUGUUAAUUUUUCCAUUAGUUGUGCACAUUUGCUCCGUGAUCCGAAUGUGCGAUUAUAUCGACGAACGCCGGAAAUAAGAGAUUGCCUUACUCUCUUAUUUUUAUAGUGAAUCUUUGAUGACUGUGAUGACUCACGAUUAAUAAUUUUAUAAUCUGGAACUGACUCAGACAGAUUUCAUAACCGAAUCAUACAAAUAGAAAAGGUUCACAUUAUAUGCACUGUUUUUAAAGUUGCUCUUCUUCCGAAGGGAAUAUGGACACAGCACCAUCUAUUGUCGGCUGGAAGCAAUUUCAAGUUUCGGUUUAAAUCUUUUGUGAAUUUGGGAAAUUUUGAAUGAAUAGCAACAACAACAAAGAAGUGUGCAUAUGUUCCGCUUUGCGCAAAAGUAAAAAUUCCUAUUACGUCCAAGUUGGUGUAAACAGUAUCUACAAGCCCCGUAAAUACUGAAACGUACUGUAAAGAAAAUCGUAGAUAUUGGGGAACACAUCUGUGUUUGCUUGGAGCCUAACACUUCUCCUAGGCACUAUAAAUGUACACCCGUUCGGUCCAUUGGCAUUAGUUCCCGAUCCAC
Molecule: RNA transcript, 1163 nt
Organism: Drosophila suzukii
Lineage: Eukaryota; Metazoa; Arthropoda; Insecta; Diptera; Drosophilidae
Gene name: protein new-glue 3-like
Source: RefSeq, a predicted model, not a curated record